Molecule: ribosomal RNA, 1312 nt
Filed under: metagenome
Description: bacterial LSU rRNA
Rfam family: Bacterial large subunit ribosomal RNA
Source: RNAcentral
CAUGCUUCCAAGAAAAGCCCUAUACCCGUUAAGGCAUCAUGGCCUGUACCCGAAACCGACACAGGUGGGGUGGUAGAGAAUACCGAGGGGCGCGAGGUAACUCUCUCUAAGGAACUCGGCAAAAUGGCCCCGUAACUUCGGGAGAAGGGGUGCCACCGCAAGGUGGUCGCAGUGAAGAGGCCCAGGCGACUGUUUACCAAAAACACAGGUCUCCGCUAAGUCGCAAGACGAUGUAUGGGGGCUGACGCCUGCCCAGUGCCGGAAGGUUAAGGAAGCUGGUCAGCGCAAGCGAAGCUAGCGACUGAAGCCCCGGUGAACGGCGGCCGUAACUAUAACGGUCCUAAGGUAGCGAAAUUCCUUGUCGGGUAAGUUCCGACCCGCACGAAAGGCGUAACGAUCUGGGCGCUGUCUCGGAGAGAGGCUCGGCGAAAUAGAAUUGUCUGUGAAGAUGCGGACUACGUGCACCCGGACAGAAAGACCCUAUGAGGCUUUACUGUAGCUUGGUAUUGUGCCCGGGCUCGCAAUGCGCAGGAUAGGUGGGAGGCUUUGAUCAUCGGCUUGCGGGUCGAUGUGAGCCAACGGUGAGAUACCACUCUUUGCGAGCUAGGGUUCUAACGGCCACCCGUCAUCCGGGGGCCGGACAGUACCUGGUGGGCAGUUUGACUGGGGCGGUCGCCUCCUAAAAGGUAACGGAGGCGCGCAAAGGUUUGCUCAGGCUGGUUGGAAAUCAGCCGACGAGUGUAAAAGCAGAAGCAAGCUUGACUGUGAGACCAACAAGUCGAACAGGGAGGAAACUCGGCUUUAGUGAUCCGACGGUUCUGAGUGGAAGGGCCGUCGCUCAACGGAUAAAAGUUACUCUAGGAUAACAGGCUGAUCUCCCCCAAGAGUUCACAUCGACGGGGAGGUUUGGCACCUCGAUGUCGGCUCAUCGCAACCUGGGGCUGAAGUCGGUCCCAAGGGUUGGGCUGUUCGCCCAUUAAAGCGGUACGCGAGCUGGGUUCAGAACGUCGUGAGACAGUUCGGUCCAUAUCCGGUGCACGCGCAGGAAUAUUGAGAGGAUUUCUCCCUAGUACGAGAGGACCGGGAGGAGCGCACCUCUGGUGUACCAGUUAUCGUGCCAACGGUAAACGCUGGGUAGCCAUGUGCGGAGUGGAUAACCGCUGAAAGCAUCUAAGUGGGAAGCCCACCUCAAGAUGAGUAUUCCCAUGGCGUAAGCCAGUAAGGUCACGGGAAGAACACCCGUUGAUAGGCUCUAUGUGGAAGCGCAGUAAUGCGUGAAGCAGAGGAGUACUAAUAGACCGAGGGCUUGACU